RNAcentral lists this transfer RNA (73 nucleotides) under Podarcis lilfordi (Lilford's wall lizard). RNAcentral's name for it is "tRNA.Lys". The stretch from base 8 to 65 matches the Rfam family "tRNA", at positions 8 to 63 of the family's 71-position model. From Rfam's summary of the family: Transfer RNA (tRNA) molecules are approximately 80 nucleotides in length. Their secondary structure includes four short double-helical elements and three loops (D, anti-codon, and T loops). Lineage: Eukaryota; Metazoa; Chordata; Lepidosauria; Squamata; Lacertidae. The record is from RNAcentral.
GCUGGGAUAGCUCAGUUGGUAGAGCAUGAGACUCUUAAUCUCAGGCUCAUGGGUUCGAGCCCCAUGAUGGGCA